This 627-nucleotide ribosomal RNA is filed under the name Cutaneotrichosporon debeurmannianum. RNAcentral describes it as "eukaryotic LSU rRNA". It matches the Rfam family "Eukaryotic large subunit ribosomal RNA", at positions 47 to 662 of the family's 3401-position model. Lineage: Eukaryota; Fungi; Basidiomycota; Tremellomycetes; Trichosporonales; Trichosporonaceae. The record is from RNAcentral.
UAAGCGGAGGAAAAGAAACUAACAAGGAUUCCCUUAGUAACGGCGAGUGAACCGGGAAAAGCUCAAAUUUGUAAUCUGGCUGUCUUCGAUAGUCCGAGUUGUAAUCUAUAGACGUGUUUUCCGUGCUGGACCGUAUCUAAGUCCCUUGGAACAGGGUAUCAAAGAGGGUGACAAUCCCGUGCUUGAUACGACCACCAGUGCUCUGUGAUACACGCUCUACGAGUCGAGUUGUUUGGGAAUGCAGCUCAAAAUGGGUGGUAAAUUCCAUCUAAAGCUAAAUAUUGGCGAGAGACCGAUAGCGAACAAGUACCGUGAGGGAAAGAUGAAAAGCACUUUGGAAAGAGAGUUAAACAGUACGUGAAAUUGUUGAAAGGGAAACGAUUGAAGUCAGUCGUGUUCUUUGGAUUCAGCUAGUUCUUCUAGUCUACUUCCAUUGAACGGGUCAACAUCAGUUUUGUCCGGUGGAUAAAGGUAGUAGGAAUGUGACUCCUCUCGGGGAGUGUUAUAGCCUAUUAUUGCAUACACUGGGUGAGACUGAGGACUGCAGCUCGCCUUUUGGCCGGUCUUCGGACACGUUCGAGCUUAGGAUGUUGACAUAAUGGCUUUAAACGACCCGUCUUGAAACAC